AGCGGGAAGUAGUUUACUACUUUGCCGGCGAGCGGCGGACGGGUGAGUAAUGUCUGGGAAACUGCCUGAUGGAGGGGGAUAACUACUGGAAACGGUAGCUAAUACCGCAUAACGUCUUCGGACCAAAGUGGGGGACCUUCGGGCCUCACGCCAUCGGAUGUGCCCAGAUGGGAUCAGCUAGUAGGUGGGGUAAUGGCUCACCUAGGCGACGAUCCCUAGCUGGUCUGAGAGGAUGACCAGCCACACUGGAACUGAGACACGGUCCAGACUCCUACGGGAGGCAGCAGUGGGGAAUAUUGCACAAUGGGCGCAAGCCUGAUGCAGCCAUGCCGCGUGUGUGAAGAAGGCCUUCGGGUUGUAAAGCACUUUCAGCGAGGAGGAAGGCCAAUAACUUAAUACGUUGUUGGAUUGACGUUACUCGCAGAAGAAGCACCGGCUAACUCCGUGCCAGCAGCCGCGGUAAUACGGAGGGUGCAAGCGUUAAUCGGAAUUACUGGGCGUAAAGCGCACGCAGGCGGUUUGUUAAGUCAGAUGUGAAAUCCCCGCGCUUAACGUGGGAACUGCAUUUGAAACUGGCAAGCUAGAGUCUUGUAGAGGGGGGUAGAAUUCCAGGUGUAGCGGUGAAAUGCGUAGAGAUCUGGAGGAAUACCGGUGGCGAAGGCGGCCCCCUGGACAAAGACUGACGCUCAGGUGCGAAAGCGUGGGGAGCAAACA
This 714-nucleotide ribosomal RNA is filed under the name uncultured bacterium. RNAcentral describes it as "bacterial SSU rRNA". It matches the Rfam family "Bacterial small subunit ribosomal RNA", at positions 65 to 774 of the family's 1533-position model. The record is from RNAcentral.